CCCCCCAGACUUUGGGGCUCCCCCCAGGAGCGGGGGCGCCGAGGCCCUGGAGGUGUUUGGACGAGUUCCUGGAGGCUGACCCUGCCGCCGUGACCUCUCACCUUCGGCCUCUGCUUGACCUCUGCCUUCAGGUGGCCGGGGACGAGUCGCGGGGCGACGCCGUGCGCGUGAGGGCUCUGGCCACCGUCACCUUCCUCGCCCAGAAGCGCCCCAAGGCGCUGCUGCGUGGGGGGCUCCUGUCCCCCGUCCUGUUGGGGCUCCUGACCCCCCUCCUGCGCUGACGCCCCCCCCGGGCGCUCCGGACCCCGAGGAGGAGGAGGAGGAGGGGGACGAUGAAGGCCGGGGGGGGCCCAGCCCCCGACACGCCGACCGCCCAG
Molecule: non-coding RNA, 377 nt
Organism: Phalacrocorax carbo (great cormorant)
Lineage: Eukaryota; Metazoa; Chordata; Aves; Suliformes; Phalacrocoracidae
Source: RefSeq, a predicted model, not a curated record